Molecule: ribosomal RNA, 429 nt
Filed under: Chloroflexota bacterium
Lineage: Bacteria; Bacillati; Chloroflexota
Description: Chloroflexi bacterium partial 16S ribosomal RNA
Rfam family: Bacterial small subunit ribosomal RNA
Source: RNAcentral
UGGGGAAUAUUGCACAAUGGGCGCAAGCCUGAUGCAGCCAUGCCGCGUGUGUGAAGAAGGCCUUCGGGUUGUAAAGCACUUUCAGCGGGGAGGAAGGCGAUAAGGUUAAUAACCUUGUCGAUUGACGCUACCCGCAUAAGAAGCACCGGCUAACUCCGUGCCAGCAGCCGCGGUAAUACGGAGGGUGCAAGCGUUAAUCGGAAUUACUGGGCGUAAAGCGCACGCAGGCGGUCUGUCAAGUCGGAUGUGAAAUCCCCGGGAUCAACCUGUGAACUGCAUUCCAAACUGGCAGGCUAGAGUCUUGUAGAGGGGGGUAGAAUUCCAGGUGUAGCGGUGAAAUGCGUAGAGAUCUAGAUGAAUACCGGUGACGAAGGCGGCCCCCUGGACAAAGACUGACGCUCAGGUGCGAAAGCGUGGGGAGCAAACAGG